Oncorhynchus nerka (sockeye salmon) is the source of this 4062-nucleotide long non-coding RNA. RefSeq lists it as uncharacterized. The record is from RefSeq and is a predicted model, not a curated record. Lineage: Eukaryota; Metazoa; Chordata; Actinopteri; Salmoniformes; Salmonidae. The transcript has 2 exons.
UAGCUAACUUUACCUAGCUAACUAACUAGCUAGAUAACUAGUGAACUACAUUUGUUUAUCUAAACCAAAAUCUAGUUAGCUAGCAUUCAUAAUAUGCUGGCUAGACAUUUCAAAGCAUAACAAUGUGGCGAUGUGAUUUUUAACUUUGCAAGCUAACAUUAGCUUCGUUAGGUUAUGUUAGCUAACCAUUAGCUAGCUAGCUAACUAACUAUCGUAGAGGCUAACGUGGCUAUGUGUUCUACUUAGAGUAUGAUCCCAUCAACAUCAAGCUCAGCACCAAGAACCUAAAAUCUACUAAAUCUUUCCAUAACUCCAUGAUGAGCAAAUACAUAAACUGGAGCUAGGCAAAAACAUGGCCCGUGUCUUGUUGUCAUAGUUGGUGUGUUUACAAGUAGGCUACAACUUCUACUGUAGUUUUCUCUGUAUUAUGGAGGCUUAGUUGAUUGUUCAUGCAAGGCUUGAAGUUUAAUUUGGGAAAAAAUAGGUAUUAGUAAGGAGGGGAUGGUGUGGGUGACUGACUUGUGUCUGUUGGAGGUGGGUAUUGUGUUAAGGUUAGUAUGCAUGAUCUAUUGACAUGAAUGGGAUGGGUGGAUAUAGUAUCUUGUUUGAGUGUGUAUUGAUGGGGACAAAGUAGUAAAAUGUUGCCUAAUCACUGACUUCUGUGUGUCCUACACACUAAUCCUGCUGCUGCUGAUGAUGAUGGCUUUGACACUGGCUUUAGUAGUACAGCGCCUGUAGACCCAUUGGAUGAAAGCUUUCAGCCUGAAAUAAGCUCAAGCUCAACAUCUGAAUUUGAAACAAGCCAGGACAGCCAAAGAUGAACACAUAUCAUUGUAUGGUUACACAUCCUCAUGAUCAGUCUUAAUGGCUUACCAGGAGACUUUCAGUACAAACAAAUCUUCUGCAAGAGGUCGAAGCAGUGGGGAGUGAAAAGGUGUACGAGAGGCCACAUGGCUGUGAAGUGCAGAAAAGAGCAGACUGUUGUCUACAAGGAGCCAGAGUCACAGCUCCACUAAACAUCUCUGCCAACAUCACCACAGCGCCAAAGCCUGCUAAACCAGCUAUUAUUUCCAACACAAGAAGAGGUUCACCAGCUGAAAAACAUACAGGAACCUACCUGGAACAUUCAACCAACAUAACAUCCAUAUUUUGUAAUAUAAUAUGUAAAUGCCUAGUAUGAUUACAACUGCAUUGUGGUAUAUAUGUUGCUAGCUGUUGUACAUACAGUUGAAGUGGGAUGUUUACAUACACUUAGGUUGGAGUCAUUCAAAUUUGAUUUUCAACCACAAAACAAAUUUCUUGUUAAUAAACUAUAGUUUUGCCAAGUCGGUUAGGACAUCUAAUUUGUGCAUGUAAUUUUUCCAAAAAUGGUUUACAGACAAAUUAUUUAACUUAUAAUUCACUGUAUCACAUUUCCAGUGGGUCAGAAGUUUAAACACACUAAGUUGACUGUGCCUUUAAACAGCUUGGAAAAUUCCAGAAAAUCAUGGCUUUAGAAGCUUCUGAUAGGCUAAUUGACAUAAUUUGAGUCAAUUGGAGGUGUACCUGUGGAUGUAUUUCAAGGCCUACCUUCAAACUCAGUGCCUCUUUGCUUGACAUGGGAAAAUCAAAAGAAAUCAGCCAAGACCUCAGAAAAAAAAUUGUAGACCUCCACAAGUCUGGUUCAUCAUUGGGAACAAUUUCCAAACGCCUGAAGGUACCACGUUCAUCUGUACAAACAAUAGUACGCAAGUAUAAACACCAUGGGACCACACAGCCGUCAUACCGCUCAGGAAGGAGACGUGUUCUGUCUCCUAGAGAUGAAAGUACUUUGGUGCAAAAAGUGCAAAUCAAUCCCAGAACAACAGCAAAGGACCUUGUGAAGAUGCUGGAGGAAACCGGUACAAAAGUAUCUAUAUCCACAGUAAGACAAGUCCUAUAUCGACAUAACCUGAAAGGCCGCUCAGCAAGAAAGAAGCCGCUGCUCCAAAACUGCCAUAAAAAAGCCAAACUACGGUUUGCAAAUGCACAUGGAGAAAUGUCCUCUGGUCUGAUGAAACAAAAAUAAAACUGUUUGGCCAUAAUGACCAUCGUUAUGUUUGGAAGAAAAAGGGGAGCGCUUGCAAGCCGAAGAACAUCAUCCCAAACGUGAAGCGGAUGGUGGCAGCAUCAUGUUGUGAGGGUGCUUUGCUGCAGGAGGGACUGGUGCACUUCACAAAAUAGAUGGCAUCAUGACGAAGGAAAAUUAUGUGGGGUAUAUUGAAGCAACAUCUCAAGACAUCAGUCAAAGUUAAAGCUUGGUCGCAAAUGGGUCUUCCAUAUGGACAAUGACCCCAAGCAUACUUCUAAAGUUGUGGCAAAAUGGCUUAAGGACAACAAAGUCAAGGUAUUGGAGUGGCCAUCACAAAGCCCUGACCUUAAUCCUAUAGAAAAUUUGUGGGCAGAACUGAAAAGGCAUGGAGGCCUACAAACCUGACUCAGUUACACCAGCUCUGUCAGGAGGAAUGGGCCAAAAUUCACCCAAUUUAUUGUGGGAAGCUUGUGGAAGGCUACACGAAAUGCUUGACCCAAAUUAAACAAUUUAAAGGCAAUGCUACCAAAUACUAAUUGAGUGUAUGUAAACUUCUGACCCACUGGGAAUGUGAUGAAAGAAAUAAAAGCUGAAAUAGUUCAUUCUCUCUACUAUUAUUCUGACAUUUCACAUUCUUAAACUCAAGUGGUGAUACAAACUGACCUAAGACAGGGCAUUUUUACUUGGAUUAAAUGUCAGGAAUUGUGAUACACUGAGUUUAAAUGUAUUUGGCUAAGGUGUAUGUAAACUUCCAACUUUAACUGUAUGGACAGUGCCUUCGGAGGGUAUUCAGACCCCUUGACUUUUUCCACAUUUUGUUAUGUUGCAGCCUUAUUCUAAAAUGGAUUGAAAGAAAACAUUCUCCUCAGCAAUCUACACACAAUACCCCAUAAUGACAAAGUGAAAACAGGUUUUUGGAGAUUUAAGAAAAUGUAUUAAAAAUAAAAAGACCCCUUAUUUAUGUAAGUAUUCAGACUCUUUGCUAUGAGACUGUUUCCAUUGAUCAUCCUUGAGAUGUUUCGUCAACUUGAUUGGAGUCCACCUGUGGUAAAUUCAAUCGAUUGGACAUGAUUUGGAAAGGCACACACCUGUCUAUAUAAGGUCCGUAGAACUCAGAGACAGGAUUGUGUCGUGGCACAGAUCUGGGGAAGGGUACCAAACAUUUCUGCAACAUUGAAGGUCCCCAAGAACACAGUGGCUUCCAUAAUUCUUAAAUGGAAGGAGUUUGGAACUACCAAGACUUUUCCUAGAACUGAGCAAUCGGGGGAGAAGGGCCUUGGUCAGGAGGUGAACAACAAUCCGAUGGUUACUCUGACAGAGCUCCAGAGUUCCUCUGUGGAGAUGGGAGAACCUUCCAGAAGGAUAACCAUCUCUGCAGCACUCCACCAAUUAAGCCUUUAUGGUAGAGUGGCUAGAUGGAAGCCACUCCUCAGUAAAAGGCACAUGACAGCCCGCUAGGAGUUUUCCAAAAAGCACCUAAAGGACUCUCCGACCUUGACUUGAACCCGAUCCAACAUCUCUGGAGAGACCUGAAAAUAGCUGUGCCGCGACGCUCCCUAUCCAACCUGACAGAGCUUGAGAGGAUCUGCAGAGAAGAAUGGGAGAAACUCCCCAAAUACAGGUGUGCCAAGCUUGUAGCGUCAUACCCAAGAAUACUCAAGGCUGUAAACGCUGCCAAAGGUGCUUCAGAGAAGUACAGAGUAAAGUGUCUGAAUAAUUGUGUGAAUGUGAUAUUUCAGUUCUUUAUUUUUUUUAAUACAUUUGCAAAAAUGUCUAAAUGUGUUUUUGCUUGGUCACUAUGGGGUAUUGUGUGUAGAUUGAGGGGGGGGGGAAACAAUGUAAUCAAUUUUAGAAUAAGGCUGUAACGUAACAUGGGGAAAGUCAAGGGGUCUGAAUACUUUCCAAGUACAUUGUAUAUAGUGGUGUUUUAUUUAUUUUUUUACAAAUGUAUUGACAAAUGACGACAGCUGUAUCAGAAACCAAUAAAGUGUCGAUGACAACUUCUGGAUCAA